UACGGAGGGGGCAAACGUUGUUCGGAAUUACUGGGCGUAAAGGGUGAGUAGGCGGUUCGAUUAGUCUAGCGUGAAAUCUCUCGGCUUACCCGGGAAACUGCGCUGGAAACUGUCGAGCUCGAGGGUGGAAGAGGCAGAUGGAAUUCCUGGUGUAGCGGUGGAAUGCGUAGAUAUCAGGAAGAACACUCGUGGCGAAGGCGGUUUGCUGGUCCAUUUCUAACGCUGAAUCACGAAAGCCAGGGGAGCAAACGGG
RNAcentral lists this ribosomal RNA (253 nucleotides) under uncultured bacterium. RNAcentral describes it as "partial 16S ribosomal RNA". It matches the Rfam family "Bacterial small subunit ribosomal RNA", at positions 524 to 776 of the family's 1533-position model. The record is from RNAcentral.